Molecule: ribosomal RNA, 301 nt
Filed under: uncultured bacterium
Lineage: Bacteria
Description: partial 16S ribosomal RNA
Rfam family: Bacterial small subunit ribosomal RNA
Source: RNAcentral
CAGUAGCCGCGGGAAUACGUAGGGUGCGAGCGUUAAUCGGAAUUACUGGGCGUAAAGCGUGCGCAGGCGGUUGUGUAAGACAGGUGUGAAAUCCCCGGGCUCAACCUGGGAACUGCAUUUGUGACUGGCAAGCUAGAGUGUGGCAGAGGGGGGUGGAAUUCCGCGUGUAGCAGUGAAAUGCGUAGAUAUGCGGAGGAACACCGAUGGCGAAGGCAGCCCCCUGGGCCAACACUGACGCUCAUGCACGAAAGCGUGGGGAGCAAACAGGAUUAGAUACCCCCGUAGUCCCUGUCUCUUAUAA